Molecule: small nuclear RNA, 160 nt
Organism: Microtus ochrogaster (prairie vole)
Lineage: Eukaryota; Metazoa; Chordata; Mammalia; Rodentia; Cricetidae
Gene: U1
Rfam family: U1 spliceosomal RNA
About the family: U1 is a small nuclear RNA (snRNA) component of the spliceosome (involved in pre-mRNA splicing).
Source: Ensembl
UUAAUUACCUGGCAAAGAAGUCACCAUGAUCACGCAGGUGGUUUCCCGGGGCAGGGCUCACCCAUUGCACCGGGGUGUGCUGACCCCUAGGAUUUCCUCAAAUGUGGGAAGCUCAGCUGCAUAAUUUGUAUUGGUGGGGGGCUGCUUUCACACUCUCCAC